This 292-nucleotide ribosomal RNA is filed under the name uncultured bacterium. RNAcentral's name for it is "partial 16S ribosomal RNA". It matches the Rfam family "Bacterial small subunit ribosomal RNA", at positions 505 to 796 of the family's 1533-position model. The record is from RNAcentral.
GUGCCAGCCGCCGCGGUAAUACGUAGGGGGCAAGCGUUGUCCGGAUUUACUGGGCGUAAAGAGCGUGUAGGCGGCCAUGCAGGUCUGUUGUGAAAACUGGAGGCUCAACUUCCAGACGUCGACAGAAACCGCGUGGCUAGAGUCCGGAAGAGGAGAGUGGAAUUCCUGGUGUAGCGGUGAAAUGCGCAGAUAUCAGGAAGAACACCGAUGGCGAAGGCAGCUCUCUGGGACGGUACUGACGCUGAGACGCGAAAGCGUGGGUAGCGAACAGGAUUAGAAACCCUAGUAGUCC